CUUAAACACACACAAUCAAUUAAAACCCUGCUCUGACCGUCCACGACAGUGGUGGAAGGAAUCGAAGGACUAUCUGGACAAAGAUCGAUAGGAGGCUGCACUCUCAAAGUGAAGAUGAUGACGAUGAAGCAAGCAUCCCUGUCAGAGCCUGGCCCAGCCAGUCCAGCUUGCACAGCGCAGAUGACAUGCUGAAAGAACGUCCUGCUUCUGCAGCCAGUCAGACCAGUACAGUGGUCAACGAGCGUCUUCAGGAGCUGGUUAAGAUGUUUAAAGAGAGGACGGAGAAGGCAAAGGAGAAACUCAUUGACCCUGACAGCUCAGAUGAAGACAGCAUCA
Molecule: long non-coding RNA, 336 nt
Organism: Micropterus salmoides (largemouth bass)
Lineage: Eukaryota; Metazoa; Chordata; Actinopteri; Centrarchiformes; Centrarchidae
Exons: 3
Source: RefSeq, a predicted model, not a curated record